This 69-nucleotide transfer RNA is filed under the name Caenis sp. JYZ-2020. Its description in RNAcentral is "tRNA-Lys". The record is from RNAcentral. Lineage: Eukaryota; Metazoa; Arthropoda; Insecta; Ephemeroptera; Caenidae.
CACUAAAUGUCUGAAAGCAAGUAAUGGUCUCUUAAACCAUAAAUAAUAGUUUAGCCCCUAUUUUUAGUG